Molecule: non-coding RNA, 5089 nt
Organism: Sus scrofa (pig)
Lineage: Eukaryota; Metazoa; Chordata; Mammalia; Artiodactyla; Suidae
Source: RefSeq, a predicted model, not a curated record
GAGCCCAAACCCGCCCAGUCUGACCCAGUGCAGACAACCGGCCUCCAGCUGGGGCUGGGGCGAGGGAAGUGGAGAGGUGCGGCCCCCCCACGCCCCUUCGGGGUGGGGGGCGCGGGCUCAGCGUUCCAGGGACCACGGGAAUUCUCUCCCUCUCGCCCUCCCGGCAGGCGGGGGAAGGGCUCAGCCGGGAGUUUGGCAAACUCCUCCCCGCGUUGAGUCAUUCGCCUCUGGGAGGUUUAGGAAGCGGCUCCGGGUCGGUGGCCCCAGGACAGGGAAGAGCGGGCGCUAUGGGGAGCCGGACGCCAGGGUCCCCUCUCCAGGCUGUGCAGCUGCGCUGGGGCCCCCGGCGCCGAUCGCGUCUGCUGCCGCUGCUGCCGCCGCCUCUGCUGCUGCUGCUGCUGCUGCCGCCGCCACUCAGGGUCGGGGGCUUCAACUUAGACGCGGAGGCCCCAGCAGUGCUCUCUGGGCCCCCGGGCUCCUUCUUCGGCUUCUCGGUGGAGUUUUACCGGCCGGGGACAGACGGGGUCAGCGUGCUGGUGGGAGCACCCAAGGCUAACACUAGCCAGCCGGGAGUGCUGCAGGGCGGUGCGGUCUACCUCUGUCCCUGGGCCACCAGCCCAGCACCAUGCACCCCCAUUGAGUUCGACAGCAAAGGCUCUCGGAUCCUGGAGUCCUCGCCAUCCAGCCUAGAGGGAGAUGAGCCCGUGGAAUACAAGUCCUUGCAGUGGUUUGGAGCGACGGUUAGAGCCCAUGGCUCCUCCAUCUUGGCCUGUGCUCCCCUCUACAGUUGGCGCACCGAGAAGGAGCCGCUGAAUGAUCCCGUGGGCACCUGCUACCUCUCCACAGACAACUUCACCCGGAUUCUGGAAUAUGCACCCUGCCGCUCAGAUUUCAGCUCGGCGGCAGGACAGGGCUACUGCCAAGGGGGCUUCAGUGCCGAGUUCACCAAGACCGGGCGUGUGGUCCUGGGUGGACCGGGAAGCUAUUUCUGGCAAGGCCAGAUCCUGUCGGCCACCCAGGAGCAGAUUUCAGAAUCCUAUUAUCCCGAGUACCUGAUCAACCCGGUUCAGGGGCAGCUGCAGACUCGCCAGGCUAGUUCCAUUUACGAUGACAGCUACCUGGGAUACUCUGUGGCUGUGGGUGAAUUCAGUGGCGAUGACACAGAAGACUUCGUUGCUGGCGUGCCCAAAGGGAACCUCACCUACGGUUAUGUCACCAUCCUUAAUGGCUCAGACAUCCGGUCCCUCUACAACUUCUCAGGGGAACAGAUGGCCUCCUAUUUUGGCUAUGCAGUGGCUGCCACAGACAUCAAUGGGGACGGGCUGGAUGACUUGCUGGUGGGGGCGCCCCUGCUCAUGGAGCGGACAGCCGAUGGGCGGCCGCAGGAGGUGGGCAGGGUCUACAUCUACCUGCAGAGCCCGGCGGGCAUGGAGCCUGCACCUGCCCGGACCCUCACUGGCCACGAUGAGUUUGGCCGAUUCGGCAGCUCCCUGACCCCCCUGGGGGACCUGGACCAGGAUGGCUACAAUGAUGUAGCCAUCGGGGCUACCUUUGGUGGGGAGAACCGGCAGGGAGCAGUGUUUAUAUUUCCUGGGGGCCCAGAGGGCUUGGCCUCUAAGCCUUCCCAGGUUCUGCAGCCCUUGUGGGCAGCUGGCCACACGCCAGACUUCUUUGGCUCGGCCCUUCGAGGAGGCCGAGACCUGGAUGGCAACGGAUACCCUGAUCUGAUUGUGGGGUCCUUUGGUGUGGACAAGGCUGUGGUGUACAGAGGUCGCCCCAUCGUGUCUGCCAGUGCCUCCCUCAGCAUUUUUCCCGCCAUGUUCAACCCAGAGGAGCGCAGCUGCAACCUGGAGGGGAACCCUGUGGCUUGCAUCAACCUCAGCUUCUGCCUCAACGCUUCUGGAAAACACGUUCCUGACUCCAUCGGCUUCACGGUGGAGCUCCAGCUGGACUGGCAGAAGCAGAAGGGAGGAGUGCGGCGGGUGCUGUUCCUGGCCUCCCGACAGGCCACCCUGACCCAGACCCUGCUCAUCCAGAACGGGGCUCGGGAGGACUGCAGAGAGAUGAAGAUCUACCUCAGGAACGAGUCAGAGUUCCGAGACAAACUGUCUCCAAUUCACAUCGCUCUCAACUUCUCCCUGGACCCCCAAGCCCCUGUGGACAGCCACGGCCUCCGGCCUGUCCUACAUUACCAGAGCAAGAGCCGCAUAGAGGACAAGGCUCAGAUCCUGCUGGACUGCGGAGAAGACAAUAUCUGUGUGCCAGACCUGCAGCUGGAAGUGUUUGGGGAUCAGAACCACGUGUACCUGGGCGACAAGAACUCCCUGAACCUCACUUUCCAUGCCCAGAAUGUGGGUGAGGGUGGCGCCUACGAGGCAGAGCUUCGGGUCACGGCCCCUCCAGAGGCUGAGUACUCCGGACUCGUCAGACACCCAGGGAAUUUCUCCAGCCUGAGCUGUGACUACUUUGCUGUGAACCAGAGCCGCCUGCUGGUGUGUGACCUGGGCAACCCCAUGAAGGCGGGGGCCAGUCUCUGGAGUGGCCUUCGGUUCACAGUCCCUCACCUUAGGGACACGAAGAAAACCAUCCAGUUUGACUUCCAAAUCCUCAGCAAGAAUCUCAACAACUCGCAGAGCGAAGUGGUUUCCUUCCGGCUCUCGGUGGAGGCUCAGGCCCAGGUGUCCCUAAACGGGGUCUCCAAGCCCGAAGCAGUGAUAUUCCCCGUGAGCGACUGGCAUCCCCGAGACCCGCCUCAGGAGGAGGAGGAUGUGGGUCCUGCCGUCCACCACGUCUACGAGCUCAUCAACCUGGGCCCCAGCUCCAUUAGCCGGGGCGUGCUGGAGCUCAGCUGUCCCCAGGCUCUGGAAGGUCGACAGCUCCUCUAUGUGACCAGGGUCACAGGACUCAGCAACUGCACCACGAGUCACCCCCUCAACCCACAGGGCCUGGAGCUGGAUCCCGAGAGUCCCCAGCACCACCGGCUGCAGAGACGGGAUGCUGCUAGCAGGAGCCCUGCCUCCUCGGGCCCUCAGAUCCUGAAAUGCCCGGAGGCAGAAUGUUUCAGGCUGCGCUGUGAGCUGGGGCCACUCCAUCGGCAAGAGAGCCGAAGCCUGCAACUGCAUUUCCGCGUCUGGGCCAAGACCUUCCUGCAGGUGAGGGAGCCUCACCUCAGUCCUGACCCCCGACCUUCGGGCUUGUCUGGAAUGACCUUCCCUUUCCCCACGGCCCUGGACACUCCCUUUAUUGACCCGGGACCCAGGCGGUCCCGUUCCCCUCCCUCACCCUUGUUUGGACCGGGCUGUGUGUUCUCGGCGCCACCUAGUGGCCAUACUGGUGACCGACAGCUUCCUUUUCCUGGCCCAUUCAGAGUAGGGAGGGUUGAAAACCAACACCAGGGGGCAGAGAAUGAUAGAAAAACCGAGGGGGAAUAUGAAUCCGUCGUGGAGAGGCAAGCAGAUGUAGGAACAGUAAAGAGCAGUCAUUUAUUAAGGGCACCCUUUGGGCCAGGCAUUGUCCUGGGUGCUUAACCCACAUGAAUGAUUCAAAAAAAAAAUUUUUUUUUUUAUUGAGCAUACUGUUAUUAUAAAUUAUUCAGUUAUAACUAUUCGGUCACACAUUUAUCAUCUCAUAUAAGAAGCAUAGAGAGAGAUUCAGGAGCGAAUGAGUCCAGAAUAGGGAAAAAUCAUAACCUGGGCCAGACCAUGGGGAGCCCUAUAUCCUCUGGAUGGCAAGAGGGGCUGCCCAUAACACUUUCUCCCACCCACAGCGGGAGCACCAGCCAUUUAGCCUGCAGUGUGAAGCUGUGUACCAAGCCCUGAAGAUGCCCUACAGAAUCCUGCCUCGGCAGCUUCCCCAAAAGGAACUUCAGGUGGCCACAGCCGUGCAGUGGAUCAAGGCAGAAGGCAGCCACGGCGUCCCGCUGUGGAUCAUUAUCCUAGCCAUCCUCGUGGGCCUCCUGCUCCUGGGUCUGCUCAUCUAUAUCCUCUACAAGCUCGGAUUCUUCAAACGCUCCCUCCCAUACGGCACCGCCAUGGAAAAAGCUCAGCUCAAGCCUCCAGCCACCUCUGAUGCCUGAGUCCUCCCGAUCCCAGACUCCCGAUCCUGAAGGCCCAGUCCCCCCACCCUCAGUCUACUGACAGGGAGGAGGCUGGGCGCUUCCUGAAGGUGCUGAGGGCCAGGGAGAAGCUCCUCUCCCCAGCCCGGAGACAUACUUGAAGGGCCAGAGCCGGGAGGUGAGGAGCUGGGGAUCCCCUCCCCCCAUGCACUGUGAAGGACCCUCGUUUACACACGCCCUCCUCAUGGAUGGGGGACUCAGAUCCAGGGACAGAGGCCCCAGCCUCCCUGCAGCCUUUGCAUUUUGGAGAGUUUCCAGAAAACAACUUGGAACCAGAACUGGGAGAUCCAAUCCCAGUUCUCUGGCCCACAUGUGCCACCAGGACUUCCCGUCCAGCUCCAGCCUGCAAAGAUCUGUCCUCAGUCUUGCCAGAGAUCCGCAGGAUGCCCCCAGCUAAGAACCUGGGACCUGGGGAGCGAGACAUGGCAGCUCUGGACAGCCCCCACCCUGGUGGGCCAACAAGGAACACUAACCGUGGAUGGUGCCCCAGGCCCAGCUCAGGACAGAUCCCACAGCAGAUUCGACGCUGGCCCAGAACCACUCCAAGGGGAACUCUAAAAGGGCCAGAUCGAACCUGGGGUUGAUCUGGGCCCCAGACUCAGACAUUGGUAACCUAAGUAGGCAGAACCAGGACUACAUCUGAGCCUGCUCCACACCUGGGCCUGGAGGCCCAAUCCACUUCUGACUCAGGAGAAGUCAGCAAUUGCCCAGGACCCUGAAGGGGCUGUGAUGGCAACAGAUCUGGAACCUUAACCCUGGCCAGAGGCAGGCCCUCCCAGUCUCCCGGAGAAAGGGGGAGCCCGCCGUCCCGGGCCUGUAGGAUUUGGGUUCUGCCCGCCAGCUGCACUGACGCUGCCCCUCCUCUCCCUGCCCAACCCUCCCCUCACCUCGGCUCCGGACACCGGGGACUUAUUUAAACUCUGUUGCAAGUGCAAUAAACCCGGCCCGGUGCCCCCACUGACCACGGCUGGAAUU